Long non-coding RNA from Hemicordylus capensis (graceful crag lizard), 2062 nucleotides. RefSeq lists it as uncharacterized. The record is from RefSeq and is a predicted model, not a curated record. The transcript is spliced from 3 exons. NCBI's taxonomy places the organism in Eukaryota, Metazoa, Chordata, Lepidosauria, Squamata, Cordylidae.
GCCAGCUUCAAAUAACAGAAGAGAACCAGAGUCUUAAGACAAUUUCAAAGUUCAUUUGGCAGGGUGAAACUCCAAAGAAUCUUGUCAAAAUACCUAUAUAAACAUGAGGGGAGACACCUCAAGCAUAUUCCACAGAGGUUUUCUGUGCAGUGUCUGAAAUAUUCAUGAAAAUACCUUCAAGAUGUUUGGGAAACAAGGAGGAAAAUACAUUAACCUUCAAACAAAUAGGCCAUGUGAGUGGGGUGUGCAGUGGUGAAGAAGAAAGCCUGCAUUUGAGACGGCAAGAUAUUUUGUGGCUUAAAUUACUUUAUUUGGCUACCUACUCACCAGUGAAGAAAACAUUUCAUACAACAACUAGCUGGCCAGAGGACAUGUUUUACACACAUACCUGUUCCCAGUAAAAAAUUUGUUCUUGGGGAACAGGACUGGAAAGAUGACUGCUUAUGGCUCUAGAGAGAUAAAUUGCUUGUCAGAUUAGACAAGCCUAGGCUAGAGGGACCAAUAGUCUGAUUCAGUAUCAGGCAGCUUUGUAUGUUUAUAAGUGAACUAGAACAAGAUGUUUAAUUUUGUCCUGCAGAUGACCAGCAACAUCUCAUUUUGGUCUGUCAUAGAAUGCAUUCAAACAAGCAUGAUUUUGAUGUCAUCUUUGCAACUACUGCUGGAUAGCCUAGUCACCUAGUCAUCACAUGGUGCUGUGCUGUCAGGUUUGGUGCUGCUUUUAGUCUCCUAAGAGCAGUAGCCAUCAAUAGGAAAAAUAAUGCCAUGUAACUUCAUAAGGCUAUUCACAGUUUUCAUGUGCAGCCCUGGGAUUGCUCCUGAUCCCGGCACUCCCACCCAACCUUACCCAACUUUUCACCCCAGCCUUUAGCCAGGGUUAAGGGUGUGAGCGUGCCCUUCACCCCGACACCAGAGUCAUGUGAGGCUGCAUGCAGCUUGAGUACGCACAGAGUUGGUUGCCUAGAGCGCCUGACUCCUAGCAGAAUCCCCCAAUGCACAUUGUGCAUUGUGGAAUGAUGCUGCCUUGCUUUGCACAGUUUUCUUGGUGUGCACAUUGCAACCACAAGGCAGUACCAAUCGCUUGGCUCUUUCUCACUUGACUGACAAACACCAGAGCAGAAAAGAAGAUUCCAAUCAGGUAGAAAAGGCCUCAAGCAUUUAGCUGAGAUUCAUGGUGGCAAUACUCACAGGACUGCAGGUGUGUAGGAGAGUAUAUCAGGAAAACAGAUCCCAGACAGCUCACUUUGUUUCUGAAGGAACCCUAAGGCUUAGUCUUUCAAACACUGGUGCACACACACGCACACAAACUGUACAUUUAACUUCAUCCCAGCCUCACACAAAAACAUAAAAAAACAAAGCAUCACAACACCCACUGAUAUGCUUUAAAGAAAAGGAAUAUGGUCUUCAGCAUGCAGUUUUAAACACAUGCCAACUCCAGCUAUUUCAGAUGCAGUGUUCCAGGGAUGGUGUCACAGGAUAUAUAUGAGACAAGCAAAAUGAUUCUUCUGCUGGUUGUGGGGGGGGGGUGUUGUUGGAAGUAUGAGAGUUAUAUUUGUAUUGUGUCUGCCCAAGCAUUAUUAACCCUUUACUUCCUCCUUUUCCCAUUCCUGUGAGGAAAAGGAGAAGAUUAUAAGCAUAUUCUCAUGUCUUUUUCUCUGUCUUGCUCUUUGCAACCUGUGUGUGAAAUAUCAACCAGCAAUCAGCGGUUUGCUGAAUUUUGUUUGCAGUUAGCAACCAACUAGAGGUUAUUAUGUGAAUGCAAGAGUCUUCUCUCAAUCUCUCCCUCUCCCUCUCCCUCCCUCUCUCUCUCUCUCUCUCCCCCCUACUAGCAUUCCUCUGGCAAAAAAAGAAGUGUGUGGGGUGGGGGUGGGGGUUUGCUUCCAAUGUCUAGAGAUAAAUUCUUUAAUCUCUCAUGCCUGAAGGUGUAAAAAAAUAAACUCAGACUGAACAGCUUACUCUAGAAUUAGUUUUGCUGAUGCAGCUUCUCUGCUUGUCCAUACUGAGCAGAAACUCAGGAAAUAGCAGUGCAACUCUCUUUAAUGUAGAAGUAACAAACAUCAUUCUU